This 232-nucleotide long non-coding RNA is filed under the name Carica papaya (papaya). RNAcentral's name for it is "long non-coding RNA (CPAP_LNC013180)". The record is from RNAcentral. Lineage: Eukaryota; Viridiplantae; Streptophyta; Magnoliopsida; Brassicales; Caricaceae.
UUUUUUAUGACUAGGACCAAUCGUGGAGGACCAUUUCUUUAUGAUCUAGAGAUUGAGAAGAUUGCUAUAAGUAUAAGAAAAUAGAGCUAAGAAAGAAGGCAGAAACAUCAAGACAACACUUGAUCUGCUAUACCUGAAACAGAAAACAUGGAACAAGAAUGCACAUUGAGGGAAUUGGCAGCCCCACCUAUAAACCAACAACCCCACCAUCACCUGCCUAGACUUGGAUGUU